Molecule: ribosomal RNA, 292 nt
Filed under: uncultured bacterium
Lineage: Bacteria
Description: partial 16S ribosomal RNA
Rfam family: Bacterial small subunit ribosomal RNA
Source: RNAcentral
GUGUCAGCAGCCGCGGUAAUACAGAGGUCUCAAGCGUUGUUCGGAUUCAUUGGGCGUAAAGGGUGCGUAGGUGGCGGGGUAAGUCGGAUGUGAAAUCUCAGGGCUCAACCCUGAAACUGCAUUCGAUACUGCCUUGCUCGAGGACUGGAGAGGAGAUUGGAAUUCACGGUGUAGCAGUGAAAUGCGUAGAUAUCGUGAGGAAGACCAGUGGCGAAGGCGGAUCUCUGGACAGUUCCUGACACUGAGGCACGAAGGCCAGGGGAGCAAACGGGAUUAGAAACCCUUGUAGUCC